This 337-nucleotide unclassified non-coding RNA is filed under the name soil metagenome. RNAcentral describes it as "partial contains 5.8S ribosomal RNA, internal transcribed spacer 2, and large subunit ribosomal RNA". The stretch from base 1 to 120 matches the Rfam family "5.8S ribosomal RNA", at positions 35 to 154 of the family's 154-position model. The record is from RNAcentral.
GAUGAAGAACGUAGCGAAAUGCGAUAAGUAGUGUGAAUUGCAGAAUUCAGUGAAUCAUCGAAUCUUUGAACGCACAUUGCGCCCCUUGGUAUUCCAUGGGGCACGCCUGUUCGAGCGUCAUCUACACCCUCAAGCUCUGCUUGGUGUUGGGCGUCUGUCCCGCCUUUGCGCGUGGACUCGCCCCAAAUUCAUUGGCAGCGGUCCUUGCCUCCUCUCGCGCAGCACAUUUGCGCUUCUCGAGGUGCGCGGGCCGCGUCCACGAAGCAACUAUUACCGUCUUUGACCUCGGAUCAGGUAGGGAUACCCGCUGAACUUAAGCAUAUCAAUAAGCGGAGGA